RNAcentral lists this long non-coding RNA (439 nucleotides) under Volvox carteri. RNAcentral describes it as "long non-coding RNA (VCAR_LNC003459)". The record is from RNAcentral. Lineage: Eukaryota; Viridiplantae; Chlorophyta; Chlorophyceae; Chlamydomonadales; Volvocaceae.
UCAGAAACAUGAAAAGCUUGUCAGCUCCUCUUGAGGUGUACAUAUCAUUUAUGGUGAAUUUCUGGGGUCACCUUUCUCCAUGCAGACAUGUGGGCAUGUUUGGACAUGAAUGAUUGGUUGGACAAGGAUUGAUCCGUGAUGGAACUUUGCAUGCAUCAGGGAUAUAUAAGUUGGAGCAACAGCCAUGGUACGGUCAUGCACACACAGUUUCACUUACCUCACACCCUUUUGGCCAACAGUCAUGGUCAUAGCCAGCUUGUACUUCUGGAAGGUUAGAUCCUCUGUAACAGUUCACACCUUAGCUGCUUUCCAGCUGUCAAGCAGCAAGCGGUUAUAUUGGUCCAGUUGCACAAGCAAUCUUCAAGCAUUGGACAGGAUUGACUUCAAUGCCUGCAUAUACACAACGAAGACACAGUCAAUGCAUGCACGGUAUUCUCAC